RNAcentral lists this unclassified non-coding RNA (337 nucleotides) under soil metagenome. RNAcentral's name for it is "partial contains 5.8S ribosomal RNA, internal transcribed spacer 2, and large subunit ribosomal RNA". The stretch from base 1 to 120 matches the Rfam family "5.8S ribosomal RNA", at positions 35 to 154 of the family's 154-position model. The record is from RNAcentral.
GAUGAAGAACGUAGCGAAAUGCGAUAAGUAAUGUGAAUUGCAGAAUUCCGUGAAUCAUCGAAUCUUUGAACGCAUAUUGCGCCCCUUGGUAUUCCAUGGGGCAUGCCUGUUCGAGCGUCAUUUGUACCUUCAAGCUCUGCUUGGUGUUGGGUGUUUGUCUCGCCUCUGCGUGUAGACUCGCCUCAAAACAAUUGGCAGCCGGCGUAUUGAUUUCGGAGCGCAGUACAUCUCGCGCUUUGCACUCAUAACGACGACGUCCAAAAGUACAUUUUUACACUCUUGACCUCGGAUCAGGUAGGGAUACCCGCUGAACUUAAGCAUAUCAAUAAGCGGAGGA